Molecule: ribosomal RNA, 434 nt
Filed under: uncultured Oscillospiraceae bacterium
Lineage: Bacteria; Bacillati; Bacillota; Clostridia; Eubacteriales; Oscillospiraceae
Description: bacterial SSU rRNA
Rfam family: Bacterial small subunit ribosomal RNA
Source: RNAcentral
ACGGAAGGCAGCAGUGGGGAAUAUUGGGCAAUGGGGGAAACCCUGACCCAGCAACGCCGCGUGAAGGAAGAAGGCCUUCGGGUUGUAAACUUCUUUUACCAGGGACGAUAAUGACGGUACCUGGAGAAAAAGCAACGGCUAACUGCGUGCCAGCAGCCGCGGUAAUACGUAGGUUGUAAGCGUUGUCCGGAUUUACUGGGUGUAAAGGGCGUGUAGGCGGAGCUGCAAGUCAGAUGUGAAAUCCCGGGGCUCAACCCCGGAACUGCAUUUGAGACUGUAGCUCUUGAGUAUCGGAGAGGCAAGCGGAAUUCCUAGUGUAGCGGUGAAAUGCGUAGAUAUUAGGAGGAACACCAGUGGCGAAGGCGGCUUGCUGGACGACAACUGACGCUGAGGCGCGAAAGCGUGGGGAGCAAACAGGAUUAGAUACCCUGGUA